AGGGUGGUAACGAUCCUGACCGCGUUCUUUCUUGGCCUGCACACCACCUGAUUCAACCUCCUUCUUGAGCUGACCAUUGCCAUAGGGCUUCUUUACUACGGAUGACGGAGCCUUUCCCUGAACUUUCUCCUUUAUCAUCCAGCUUUCAAUCCUCUCCAACCUCUCAGCCAUUGCUUUCUGCCCCAAGGUGAGCCCUUGCACGACUUUGAACAACUCCCCCAUCAUCUCUUUCAAUUCGAGAAUGUCGGCGUUGGGUGGAUCCAUCAGCCCGAGUUUGUUGAGUCUGGCAGGAUGUAUGAGCGAGAGAGCUAUGUGCACUGGUUAGAUACUGACACCUACAAAACAGCAGACAGGUUAAUAUGACUCACACAUGCAAUGUCUAUCCGUAUGAGGAGAAUUCCGUCCUUUGAUUCUGGUUUCAUUGUGAUGGAUAACAUUUCAACAAUAACAUUGACAUCUGGGUGUCUCUCAACCGGAAUCUCAAUAAAAAAUGGACCCUGAG
Molecule: long non-coding RNA, 502 nt
Filed under: Lathyrus oleraceus (garden pea)
Lineage: Eukaryota; Viridiplantae; Streptophyta; Magnoliopsida; Fabales; Fabaceae
Description: Pisum sativum (pea) long non-coding RNA (PSAT_LNC013703)
Source: RNAcentral